AUGUCUGUGUGUUUCCUUUUCCAGAUAACUGAAUUGUGUUACACUUUUGCUUGGGUUUCUGUUUAGGCACAAUGGCACAGUAAGAUUCUGAAAAUAAAAUAUUACUUUUGACAAACAAGAUCCUUCACUAGAGCACUCAACACGGUUCUUGAAAAUAAAGCUGUUUUUGAUAAUAGUGAAUGAAAGUGAGUGAAAGUCAAAUACUCUUCUGGAUUUUAAAAAGACCCCUGACUAGAAAUAGUUAUUUCUGACUAGAAAUAAUCCUGAAAACAAGAUCCUUUUCUAGCUAACCACUUGCUGUGUGAACACAGACAUACUAUUUAUAAACCAUCAUUUAUGGCUUAAUGUGUUUAUGAUUUAUUCAAUAAAAUUUGGUUAAAAGGCACCAUUUGGCAUGAUACAGAGUAUUCUCUGGGGAUCUGAUGUAGUAUUCUGCAGGUGCUUUCUGGAAAAAUCCAAGUGUAGUUCUGGUUCCUUUCAAGCAGUGUAUCUAUUACCUCACAAUCAAAAUUGCAAGACCACAGUGGCAUCAUGGCCUCGCAUCUAUGUUUAAACAUUGUAGUUACACAAUUUCAGUUGGCUGCACUAUUGAAGCCUAUUAAAGGAAUUAGAACAGUCCUGCCCUAUUGUCUACAGAGCAUAGCAGGUCAGCAAGUUCAAGCCACAAACUAUUUAGCAAAAAAUGUAUUUUCUUUUCCUACAAGCCAGUUUAAAUGGUGUGCUAAGAACCAAUAUGCUUACAAUAAAAAUAACAGGAAGAGCA
This is a long non-coding RNA of Candoia aspera, 763 nucleotides long. RefSeq lists it as uncharacterized. The transcript is spliced from 2 exons. Lineage: Eukaryota; Metazoa; Chordata; Lepidosauria; Squamata; Candoiidae. The record is from RefSeq and is a predicted model, not a curated record.